This 314-nucleotide long non-coding RNA is filed under the name Phoenix dactylifera (date palm). RNAcentral's name for it is "long non-coding RNA (PDAC_LNC015537)". Lineage: Eukaryota; Viridiplantae; Streptophyta; Magnoliopsida; Arecales; Arecaceae. The record is from RNAcentral.
UUUUUUCCAAACAAUCUUUUCUUCUUACUUUACUCAACAGUACUAGGAAAUAUAGACGAUAAAGACAUUCCUGAAUAGAUGAAUCGACCUCGGCUACAAUUUGGACUUGGUUGCCACAAACAAUUUGGACUUCGUAGGUUUCAAUCUGUCCAAGCUUCUCCACUAAAUUAUAGCUCGAACGCUACAAGUCUUCUUGUCCCCAUUUCCUGGAAAUAUCCAAGGAACAAACUUCCUACCUCCACUCACAGAUGGUCCUAGCAGAAUUGCCAUUGCGGCCUAGCUCAGCUGAUUCCUUUCAGAGACAGCCACCGGCC